GACGAACGCUGGCGGCAUGCCUAACACAUGCAAGUCGAACGGUAAGGCUUCCUUCGGGAAGUACACGAGUGGCGAACGGGUGAGUAACACGUGGGUAACCUACCCUUGACUGGGGGACAACCGAGGGAAACUUCGGCUAAUACCGCAUAACGUGCAUUGCCUCAAGGUGGUGUACCAAAGCUCCGGCGGUUAAGGAUGGGCCCGCGGCAGAUUAGCUUGUGGGUGAGGUAACGGCUUGCCAAGGCGACGAUCUGUAGCUGGUCUGAGAGGACGAGCAGCCACACUGGAACUGAGACACGGUCCAGACUCCUACGGGAGGCAGCAGUGGGGAACCUUGCGCAAUGGGCGGAAGCCUGACGCAGAAAUGCCGCGUGAGGGAAGACGGCCUUAGGGUUGUAAACCUCUUUCAGCAGGGACGAACACAGACGGUACCUGCAGAAGAAGCCCCGGCUAACUACGUGCCAGCCGCCGCCGUAA
This 477-nucleotide ribosomal RNA is filed under the name uncultured bacterium. RNAcentral's name for it is "partial 16S ribosomal RNA". It matches the Rfam family "Bacterial small subunit ribosomal RNA", at positions 28 to 523 of the family's 1533-position model. The record is from RNAcentral.